GGGGAUGUAGUUUAGUUGGUAGAAUGCUCGCCUAGUAUGCAGGAGGCCCUGGGUUUGACCCCCAGCAUUGCAU
This 73-nucleotide transfer RNA is filed under the name Neotoma lepida (desert woodrat). It matches the Rfam family "tRNA". From Rfam's summary of the family: Transfer RNA (tRNA) molecules are approximately 80 nucleotides in length. Their secondary structure includes four short double-helical elements and three loops (D, anti-codon, and T loops). Further hydrogen bonds mediate the characteristic L-shaped molecular structure. tRNAs have two regions of fundamental functional importance: the anti-codon, which is responsible for specific mRNA codon recognition, and the 3' end, to which the tRNAs corresponding amino acid is attached (by aminoacyl-tRNA synthetases). tRNAs cope with the degeneracy of the genetic code in two manners: having more than one tRNA (with a specific anti-codon) for a particular amino acid; and 'wobble' base-pairing, i.e. permitting non-standard base-pairing at the 3rd anti-codon position. The record is from Rfam by way of RNAcentral. Lineage: Eukaryota; Metazoa; Chordata; Mammalia; Rodentia; Cricetidae.